This 340-nucleotide unclassified non-coding RNA is filed under the name fungal sp. RNAcentral's name for it is "partial internal transcribed spacer region". The stretch from base 1 to 46 matches the Rfam family "Eukaryotic small subunit ribosomal RNA", at positions 1786 to 1831 of the family's 1831-position model. The record is from RNAcentral. Lineage: Eukaryota; Fungi.
AAGUCGUAACAAGGUUUCCGUAGGUAAACCUGCGGAAGGAUCAUUACAACGUCCAAAAGACAAACCAAUCGCGAACUUAGUACCCUUUGGACUAAAGGCAGAGCGGAUGAACCCUUGUGAUGAAGGCGUGUCACAGUGCCUUGGGUUGAUCCGUUCGCAGCACUUCGGUGCUGACUUUGGCUUUCCGAAGUGGUUUUUGUACAUCACUACUCUAACAUUACUAAACCCUUUAACACUUUUGAACUGACUUGUUGUUAACGCGGUGCUCCUCGCGGAGUGCUACUUAACAAUUGAUUACGUAAAUUACGAACAACUCUUAACAACGGAUAUCUUGGUUCUC